UACGUAGGGUGCGAGCGUUAAUCGGAAUUACUGGGCGUAAAGGGCGCGUAGGCGGCCUGUUAAGUCGAACGUGAAAUCCCCGGGCUCAACCCGGGAACUGCGUCCGAUACUGGCAGGCUUGAAUUCGGGAGAGGGAUGUGGAAUUCCAGGUGUGGCGGUGAAAUGCGUAGAUAUCUGGAGGAACACCGGUGGCGAAGGCGGCAUCCUGGACCGAUAUUGACGCUGAUGCGCGAAAGCCAGGGGAGCAAACGGG
RNAcentral lists this ribosomal RNA (253 nucleotides) under uncultured bacterium. RNAcentral describes it as "partial 16S ribosomal RNA". It matches the Rfam family "Bacterial small subunit ribosomal RNA", at positions 524 to 776 of the family's 1533-position model. The record is from RNAcentral.